Lactuca sativa (garden lettuce) is the source of this 1657-nucleotide non-coding RNA. The record is from RefSeq and is a predicted model, not a curated record. Lineage: Eukaryota; Viridiplantae; Streptophyta; Magnoliopsida; Asterales; Asteraceae.
UGCAUUACAACCUAAAAUAUCAUCUCUAUUCACUUAUUAAUAGGCUGAGGAAUAUCCAUGUUUAUUCUUAAAAUAAGGUAUUCAUGUUAUGGCAUUCAAAGUGCUUUUCAAGAUUGUUAUUAAUAGUUCACAAGUUCCAUUACCUUUCAAUGGCUUUAAGAGCAACCAUGACUCAUCAUCAACCUAUAUAUGUUCCAACAAAUCCUCAUGUAGCAGAACUGUUGCCUCCAGCUAUUGUUGUUACAAAGACUGAUUAUUAUUUGAGAAGAUUAUGGGGUGCACCCUUAGAGGUUAACAAAAAGAGAAACGAUCUGAAGCAAUAGAUAAAUUCUACCAUGUUGGCUGCCACUAUGGACAACAAGAAGGAUUCAAUGACACUUUUUGGGUUGAAAAUACAUACACCCAAAUGUCCAACAACUGCACCUUCUCAGCUUCUUGAUCCUUUUCAAAGAGGCGCUUCACCGGCAACUUAAUCAUGGGUCAGGAGUUUGUUGCCGAUUGUUUUUCUUUGAGUACGAUUAUACCAAAUUGUUACACAUUGAUUACUUAAUUCAUAUCUUGACAAAUGAGUUUGUUUAUAAUCAAAUGCACCAUUAAAAAAAGGGGAAAAACUCCUGAGAGUCCUGACCCAUGCAAAGCAUGGGCCCUUUUCUAGUUAGUUAUUAUAGGUUCUAUUAUCUUCUAAAGUUGUGAAUUUGGAAUAAGACGCCGAAAUGUUUGAAAAUAUAUUACAGAAAAUAUUUAAAUAGUUGAUGUAGUUGUUCAAUUGAUAGAAACAUUUCUACUGUUUAAUUUUUUUUGAGUUCCGUUAAUUUUUGUAAUUAUUAGUUAUUAUAGGUUCUAUUAUCUUCUAAAGUUGUGAAAUUGGAAUAAUAUGCCGAAAUGUUUGAAAAUAUAUUACAUAAAAUAUGUAGAUAGUUGAUGUGGUUGUUCAAUCAUGUUUAGUCAUUGAAAAUUUUUUUUGUCCACAUUUUCCCAUUAAACUUGUUUUUGUUGUCCAUAUCUUACCUUAUGACUGGUUGGUGUGGGUUUAACCGGUUUCCAGCGGUCUUUGCAUUUCCGACGAGACUCCGGUCAUCUUCUCCGACAAGUCUCCGGCCAAGAUGAUUUUUCCGGCGAGUUGUAACACACAAAUUAUGUUUUGCCGGAAAAAUCAUGAACAUCGGAGUCUCGCCGGAGAAAAUGACUAGAGACUCGCCGGAAACCGGUUAAACUUAUGAUUGCAGGUCAUAAGGAUGUUUUUUGAACAGUUCAACAAGUUCAAUCGGAAAAUAUAGACAAAAAAAAAACUCGAUGACUAAACGUGUACAUAUCGAAAAAUAUGUUACCUUUUUAAGUCAUUAUCCCUUAAGAUAUUUAUGUUUUCUUUGUUAUGUAAAAUUAUAAAUCAUUGAUUUAUAAGAAUAAAUGAAUACGUUUAAGUCAUGUAACUGUGUUUAUGAAUCACUUGCAGAACUUAUCGUUGAUUGAAAAGAAUACAACUUGAAAUGAAGAGUGACUGAGGAAAUUUAGUGUUGAUCGAAAAGAAUACAACUUGAAAUGAAGAGUGACUGAGGAAAUUUAGUGUUUGAUAGUCUGUAUUAUUGUAGAAAUAAAAAUAUCAUUAGUUAAUGGGAUAAAAAAUAGAGUGGAAAUCAAAAUCUCCUCAUUUAUGUGA